AAAUGCUUUAAAACUCUCUUUGCCUGGAGUCUCAACUUUGCCUGUCAUAUGACGUGGCACGUUGCCAGUAUCUUGGCUUCCCUUGGGUGUGUCUCAUUAGCCAGAGGGUCCCUGUCUCCAGGAAAGUGGGCUUGGCCCAGGCCCUUGACUUAGGAACGCCGCAUCUUGUGGGUGCAUGGCUGUGAUCUGAUCCCAAGCCUAUCUUCUAGUGAUUGACAGCUGCACAGUGGCCAUGGCUUCCAACGACACACCUGAAGGGGUGCGGUAUAUUUCCUCCAACGUCUGUGGUCCUCACGGGAAGUGCAAGAGUCAGUCGGGAGGCAAAUUCACCUGUGACUGUAACAAAGGCUUCACGGGAACAUACUGCCAUGAAAAUAUUAAUGACUGUGAGAGCAACCCUUGUAGAAACGGUGGCACUUGCAUCGAUGGUGUCAACUCCUACAAGUGCAUCUGUAGUGACGGCUGGGAGGGGGCCUACUGUGAAACCAAUAUUAAUGACUGCAGCCAGAACCCCUGCCACAAUGGGGGCACGUGUCGCGACCUGGUCAACGACUUCUACUGUGACUGUAAAAAUGGGUGGAAAGGA
RNAcentral lists this small RNA (586 nucleotides) under Pongo abelii (Sumatran orangutan). RNAcentral's name for it is "retained intron". Lineage: Eukaryota; Metazoa; Chordata; Mammalia; Primates; Hominidae. The record is from RNAcentral.